UGAUAGGAAAAGUUAGCACCAAGAAGAGAUUUCCUGAAAAAUUCUUAUCCUCUUCUGUUAUUUUUAUACUAUUUGAAUGCAUUACCUUGCCACUUCUUUCAUGACCGGGCAGCUUAGUGAUAAGCUAGAGUAUUACAAAUUACAAAAAUUACAAAAGUAUUACAAAUGUUUUCUCCAUCUUUGAGAGCAAUAUGUAAUAUCAUUAGAUUUCCAGUUUGCUUUGGCAAUGAUAUGUUUAACAGACAAGCUGUUCUCCCUGUUGAAGAGAUGGGACUGGCUCUGAGCAAGCAAGAUAGAAGAAGAGCAUUAGUGGAAACCUAUUAUCUGUGUUCAAUUUUCCCAAAGAGUAACCAAGGCUGCUUCUGCAAUGGAGAAUAAAUGAAAACAUUUAUCGUCUGAUAAAAAUUAGUAAGCUGCUCAUACUGGCACGUUUCCUUGCUGAUUAUGGUGCAAUAAGGUGGCUUCUGUUGAGGAGCAGCUCACAGUGAGCAGUGGUGACAGCCUCAGCAACCACCAAGCUCCCCAAGGUGCUCAUACCUCACCUCCGUCAAUAAGAAGCACCUGAAGACCAACCCAAGGGCCUUUGUGCCAGAGAAAGGAUGUGCACACUUGCAGUAGAGCAUACCUAAUGCCUCAAGAGCUGUGCACCAAAACUGCUGAGAAAAGCACAGAACACACCAUCAGAAGAGGAGAGGUAGAGUCGGAUGUGCCCACACCCUCAGCCACCUCCCUCACACCCACAGCGCUGCUCCCAGCCCCCGAGCACCCAGCUCGGGGAGCACAGGGUGAAGCACAAAGCCCUGGCAUCAACACUGAAAGGAUCUAACUGGUGCAACAGCUCACAUCUCCACAAGCAAAAAUAGCAGUACCAUUAUUUUUAACAGUACUGGGACAAAGAUGCAUUGCUGAGGUACAACAAGAUAAGGGAAAUUUGUCUCAGCUACUCCUAAAAUUAUUAGCAGAAGUAGCCUGGGAAUGCUGCAGAAUAUGGUCCAUACUUUCUACAUUUCUCUUCCCAGCAUGAAAAAACAUGAAACAUCUCAAUUCAUCUUUUACUAUAGCUUCUUCAAACUACAUGCAGCGUGUGGCUUUAAACCCAUUUCAGAGCAGCUAAGCACACAACAAACCAUUAACCUGAAGGACUAUCACUUACAGGAUGCUAUGCAAAGAUUCAGAGAGCUUCUGGAAUAA
RNAcentral lists this long non-coding RNA (1191 nucleotides) under Anser brachyrhynchus (Pink-footed goose). RNAcentral describes it as "lncRNA (ENSABRG00000016960.1)". Lineage: Eukaryota; Metazoa; Chordata; Aves; Anseriformes; Anatidae. The record is from RNAcentral.